This 496-nucleotide ribosomal RNA is filed under the name uncultured bacterium. RNAcentral's name for it is "partial 16S ribosomal RNA". It matches the Rfam family "Bacterial small subunit ribosomal RNA", at positions 28 to 507 of the family's 1533-position model. The record is from RNAcentral.
GAUGAACGCUGGCGGCGUGCCUAAUACAUGCAAGUCGAGCGAACAGACGAGGAGCUUGCUCCUCUGACGUUAGCGGCGGACGGGUGAGUAACACGUGGAUAACCUACCUAUAAGACUGGGAUAACUUCGGGAAACCGGAGCUAAUACCGGAUAAUAUAUUGAACCGCAUGGUUCAAUAGUGAAAGACGGUUUUGCUGUCACUUAUAGAUGGAUCCGCGCCGCAUUAGCUAGUUGGUAAGGUAACGGCUUACCAAGGCAACGAUGCGUAGCCGACCUGAGAGGGUGAUCGGCCACACUGAACUGAGACACGGUCCAGACUCCUACGGGAGGCAGCAGUAGGGAAUCUUCCGCAAUGGGCGAAAGCUUGACGGAGCAACGCCGCGUGAGUGAUGAAGGUCUUCGGAUCGUAAAACUCUGUUAUUAGGGAAGAACAAAUGUGUAAGUAACUAUGCAUGUCUUGACGGUACCUAAUCAGAAAGCCACGGCUAACUACGUG